This 402-nucleotide ribosomal RNA is filed under the name uncultured bacterium. Its description in RNAcentral is "bacterial SSU rRNA". It matches the Rfam family "Bacterial small subunit ribosomal RNA", at positions 32 to 409 of the family's 1533-position model. The record is from RNAcentral.
AAUCAACGCUGGCGGCGUGCCUCAGACAUGCAAGUCGAACGCGAAAGUCCCCUUCGGGGGGACAAGUAGAGUGGCGCACGGGUGAGUAACACGUAGGUAAUCUACCUUCGGAUGGGGAAUAACAAACCGGAAACGGUUGCUAAUACCGCAUAAUGCAGCGGCACCUAAUGGUGACAGUUGUUAAAGCGGGGGGAUCGUAAGACCUCGCGUCUGAAGAGGAGCCUGCGGCGGAUUAGCAGUUGGUAAGGUAAUGGCUUACCAAGGCUACGAUCCGUAACCGGCCUGAGAGGGGCGGUCGGUCACACUGACACUGACAUACGGGUCAGACUCCUACGGGAGGCAGCAGUCGGGUAAUUUUGGGCAAUGGGCGAAAGCCUGACCCAGCAACGCCGCGUGAAGGAU